RNAcentral lists this ribosomal RNA (253 nucleotides) under uncultured bacterium. Its description in RNAcentral is "partial 16S ribosomal RNA". It matches the Rfam family "Bacterial small subunit ribosomal RNA", at positions 524 to 776 of the family's 1533-position model. The record is from RNAcentral.
UACAGGGGGGGCAAGCGUUGUUCGGAAUUACUGGGCGUAAAGGGGCUGUAGGCGGCCAAGUAAGUCCGACGUGAAAUCCCAACGCUUAACUUUGGAACUGCGUCGGAUACUGGAUGGCUUGAAUUCGGGAGAGGGAUGCAGAAUUCCAGGUGUAGCGGUGAAAUGCGCAGAUAUCAGGAGGAACACCGGUGGCGAAGGCGGGUCUCUGGGCAGUAACUGACGCUGAGGAGCGAAAGCGUGGGGAGCGAACAGG